Molecule: long non-coding RNA, 1010 nt
Organism: Aegilops tauschii subsp. strangulata
Lineage: Eukaryota; Viridiplantae; Streptophyta; Magnoliopsida; Poales; Poaceae
Source: RefSeq, a predicted model, not a curated record
AAUGACACAUUUUCCUCUAUUUCAUCAUUCUAUCUAACAAAUCAUUUUUAUUUUUAUUGUACUGUGAUUAUUUAUGAGGUUAUGAUAUAUUUCAUCGAAUGACCACCAUGGUAGGCAUUUUGUAUCUUUGUUUAGUAUCGGACCAUCAUUGCUUGAUUAACUGGCAGACAAUCAUGAAAUUUACCUAUCAUUUUUGUAACCGCAGAUCACCUUACUUUAAUCAGGCAACAGAGGAAGGAAGUUGCAAAGAAGCAUGAAGAGAAUAAAGAUCUCUGCAUUUUUCCUGACUGAGGUAUGAAGGAAAUUUAUUUUUUGGUGGAAAAAUCUUUCUUCGAUGUCAGAUCACUAUAAAGGAUGAGUUGCUCCACAGUGUCAUCAACGAGUACAACCACGCCGUGCUCACUAUGAUGAUGCGCAAUACAAGCUCUUGCCCUGUAAGUAUCCUGGAGAAAGAUUUGCAUCCAGUUCUCCGGUUCAAGUUCAAGCUCUUGCCCUGCAAGUAUUUUCGAGAAGAUCUGCUACAGUUCUCCGAUCGGUGCCACUCCAUUGUCAAUGGCGCUUCUCCAGCAACAACACGCAGAUCAUCUACACUAGCAACAAACCACCUGGGACACGCAAAGGAAAACUAGAUUCUGUCUUUUCCACUUCAUCACAAACCAAGCAGAAAGUAAAUCUAUCUACUGACCAGUGUAGCCGUAGUACCUAGGUCUUAAGUUAUGUAAGACAAUCAUCCUAAAUAAAACAAUACUCCAUAGUAAGUCUCUCUUUCUCUUCCCUUGUGUGCUAUAAAAAAUUGAAAAGACAAAGCACACAAAUGUUUGCACAAAUUUUCGGAAGGCAACUAACAAAUAUAUCAGCAGAGCGCGGCGUGCCGCGGUGCACAACCUGCUAGUGUAUACCUAUGUAUGUUGUGAUGUGGUACUGGACUUGUGAACCUACAAAUGUAUAUCGAUGUAUGUAUGAAGACAUGAUGUAUUGUUGAGAUAUAUUAUGAUGCAACUUUAGCUCUA